Molecule: transfer RNA, 133 nt
Filed under: Pseudomonas chlororaphis
Lineage: Bacteria; Pseudomonadati; Pseudomonadota; Gammaproteobacteria; Pseudomonadales; Pseudomonadaceae
Description: tRNA-OTHER
Rfam family: tRNA
About the family: Transfer RNA (tRNA) molecules are approximately 80 nucleotides in length. Their secondary structure includes four short double-helical elements and three loops (D, anti-codon, and T loops). Further hydrogen bonds mediate the characteristic L-shaped molecular structure. tRNAs have two regions of fundamental functional importance: the anti-codon, which is responsible for specific mRNA codon recognition, and the 3' end, to which the tRNAs corresponding amino acid is attached (by aminoacyl-tRNA synthetases). tRNAs cope with the degeneracy of the genetic code in two manners: having more than one tRNA (with a specific anti-codon) for a particular amino acid; and 'wobble' base-pairing, i.e. permitting non-standard base-pairing at the 3rd anti-codon position.
Source: RNAcentral
GCCCAGAUGGUGAAAUUGGUAGACACGCCAGCUUCAGGUGCUGGUGGCCGCAAGGCCGUGGAAGUUCGAGUCUUCUUCUUCAGGUGCUGGUGGCCGCAAGGCCGUGGAAGUUCGAGUCUUCUUCUGGGCACCA